AACGAACGCUGGCGGCAUGCCUAACACAUGCAAGUCGAACGAGACCUUCGGGUCUAGUGGCGCACGGGGGCGUAACGCGUGGGAACCUGCCCUUAGGUUCGGAAUAACUCCCCGAAAGGGGUGCUAAUACAGGAUAAUGUCUUCGGACCAAAGAUUUAUCGCCUUUGGAUGGGCCCGCGUAGGAUUAGCUAGUUGGUAGGGUAAAAGCCUACCAAGGCGACGAUCCAUAGCUGGUCUGAGAGGAUGAUCAGCCACACUGGGACUGAGACACGGCCCAGACUCCUACGGGAGGCAGCAGUGGGGAAUAUUGGACAAUGGGCGAAAGCCUGAUCCAGCAAUGCCGCGUGAGUGAUGAAGGCCUUAGGGUUGUAAAGCUCUUUUACCCGGGAUGAUAAUGACAGUACCGGGAGAAUAAGCUCCGGCUAACUCCGUG
Molecule: ribosomal RNA, 433 nt
Filed under: uncultured bacterium
Lineage: Bacteria
Description: partial 16S ribosomal RNA
Rfam family: Bacterial small subunit ribosomal RNA
Source: RNAcentral